UGGGGAAUAUUGGGCAAUGGGCGCAAGCCUGACCCAGCAACGCCGCGUGAAGGAAGAAGGCCCUCGGGUUGUAAACUUCUUUUAUCAGGGACGAAGAAAGUGACGGUACCUGAUGAAUAAGCCACGGCUAACUACGUGCCAGCAGCCGCGGUAAUACGUAGGUGGCAAGCGUUAUCCGGAUUUACUGGGUGUAAAGGGCGUGUAGGCGGGAGAGCAAGUCAGACGUGAAAUUCCAGGGCUCAACCCUGGAACUGCGUUUGAAACUGUUCUUCUUGAGUGAUGGAGAGGCAGGCGGAAUUCCGU
RNAcentral lists this ribosomal RNA (303 nucleotides) under uncultured bacterium. Its description in RNAcentral is "bacterial SSU rRNA". It matches the Rfam family "Bacterial small subunit ribosomal RNA", at positions 355 to 672 of the family's 1533-position model. The record is from RNAcentral.